Dama dama (fallow deer) is the source of this 746-nucleotide long non-coding RNA. RefSeq lists it as uncharacterized. NCBI's taxonomy places the organism in Eukaryota, Metazoa, Chordata, Mammalia, Artiodactyla, Cervidae. The record is from RefSeq and is a predicted model, not a curated record. The transcript is spliced from 3 exons.
UAUGCUGUUAAAAAGCCUCAGAAUGCAGGUUUUCCGAUCUACAAGCUUAUAAAUUGGCACCUGGACUGUGCUGAAUUAGCCAGAGGAAUAGUCCAGCCUCUAAUAGCCCACCAGCUCAUCUCCUCUGGCCAUACUUCUCAUUCACAUCUGAACACAGGUGUUGUGAAACCUACCACUGAAUCUAAGCCAAGUGGCAAAGGAAAAGACUCACAUCAACACUGUCAUCAUUGGACACGUAGCUCAGCCAUAUUGUUCACAAUAUCAAGAAGCAGAUGCAACCCAAGUGUCCAUCAAAAGAUAAAAAGAUAAUUAAAGUGUGGUGUACACCUACACUGGAAUACUAUCCAGCCUUAAAAAGGAAGGAAAUUCUAUACAUACUACAACGUGGAUGAACCUUGAAGAUAUUCUAAGUCCGACAUAAGAGGAUAAAUGCUGUGUGAUCACAAUUAUAUGAGGGACUGAGAUGAUCACAAUGGUGUGAUCACUCACCUAGAGCCAGACAUCCUGGAAUGUGAAGUCAAGUGGGCCUUAGAAAGCAUCACUACGAACAAAGCUAGUGGAGGUGAUGGAAUUCCAGCUGAGCUAUUUCAAAUCCUGAAAGAUGAUGCCGUGAAAGUGGUACACUCAAUAUGCCAGCAAAUCUGGAAAACUCAGCAGUGGCCACAGGACUGGAAAAGGUCAGUUUUCAUUCCAAUCCCAAAAAAAGGCAAUGACAAAGAAUGCUCAAACUACCACACAAUUGCGCU